This 392-nucleotide ribosomal RNA is filed under the name Suboestophora hispanica. RNAcentral describes it as "partial 16S ribosomal RNA". It matches the Rfam family "Archaeal large subunit ribosomal RNA", at positions 1948 to 2665 of the family's 2987-position model. Lineage: Eukaryota; Metazoa; Mollusca; Gastropoda; Stylommatophora; Trissexodontidae. The record is from RNAcentral.
UUCCUGCUCAAUGAAAGUUAAAUAGCCGCAGUACACUGACUGUGCAAAGGUAGCAUAAUCAAUUGGCCUAUAAUUGAGGUCUGGAAUGAACGGAUUUUUGGGAAAUUACUGUCUCUUUGUAAAAAUCGAAUUUAAUUAUUAAGUGUAAAUACUUAUAAAUAUAUAAUAGACGAGAAGACCCUAGAAAUUUUUUAUAAAAAAUAUUAUUUUUACUAUUUUGUUGGGGCGACAGAAUUGCAAUUAACCUAUUUAAUUUAUUAGAAGUUUAUCAGAAUAAUUAAUUACUCUAGGGAUAACAGCAUUAUUAUUUUAUAGAUUGUGACCUCGAUGUUGGACUAGGGACUUUAGUGUUCAGAAGACAUAUAUGUAGCUCUGUUCGAGCUUUAUACCCU